UUUAAAGAUUUAUUCAGUGGCCCCUGCACUUUCUGAAUGGAAGCAGAAUACCUCACUGAAAACACCCUCACACCAAAAAAACAGUGAAUUAUUCUUUGACACACUUUCGGCAGUACUCGAGGAAAACAGAAAAAUUAGAGUAUUUUUUGCUGAAAGAUGAGUAGCGUUGUGGCUACGAUAAAUACGCAUAAAUAUCGGAAGUAUCCAUUUGUUUUUAUAAAAGAACGCAUCUUGAUCUGAAUUUGGAAUUUUUGUAAUAAGAUGGCCAAAAGUGGGAAAAGUUCUAAUAUUAAGAGUAACUAUGAAAUGGCCCCAUAAACGCAAAUUGCCUGAACUUUUCCAUAUGAUUAUUAUAGAAUUUCCCAAAUUAUUGGCUUGGUACAUAUAACGUGUACAACAUAUAUAACUCUCAAAAAAUUAACUCAUGAAAGGGGAAAAAAACCUACA
This is a long non-coding RNA of Gordionus sp. m RMFG-2023, 447 nucleotides long. RefSeq lists it as uncharacterized. The record is from RefSeq and is a predicted model, not a curated record. The transcript has 3 exons. Lineage: Eukaryota; Metazoa; Nematomorpha; Gordioida; Chordodea; Parachordodidae.